This is a long non-coding RNA of Leptidea sinapis, 584 nucleotides long. RefSeq lists it as uncharacterized. Lineage: Eukaryota; Metazoa; Arthropoda; Insecta; Lepidoptera; Pieridae. The transcript has 2 exons. The record is from RefSeq and is a predicted model, not a curated record.
UUUAUAUAAACUAGGUGAUGAUGUCAGCUUUAAUUAAACUGAAUCGGUAAAAUGGGUUACUCGACUAUCUUGCUCCUCGUUGGCAUUUAUUUGAUAUCUAGCACAGAAUGCUUCUCAACGUACCGUCAUCAUCCUUAUGAGAACAAACCAGAAUCAAGUAUUACAUCAUGUGAUGAGUUAAAGACGCUACUGAACUUAGCACGCUUACUGGAUGACCAGGAAAAACCAAAAGCGAACGUUUUCAACCCUGAAGAUUUAAUAAUGAAGCUAGUCAACGCGUUGGUGGUAACGUCCACAAAUAAAUGUGCAGACAAUAACAAUUUACACACUGGCAACUCUGGAUCGCAAAAUGUCAGCGGAAGUAACUCGGGAACACAAAAUUCAAGAGGAAGUCGUGAUGGAAUAUUCAACGCUGACUUCUUUAACCCUAAUAAUCCAAACAACGUAGCUCAGUUUGAUAUUGGCAAGCAACCCGUUGUUGGGGUUGGUGUUGGUGAUACCACUAAUGGUAUAAUUGGUGGGGCAGUUAAGGAUUUUGCAUAAUUUUGUAGAACUCACAUUAAAUCAUAUUAUGAGAAUUGAAA